GCAGCUCCACGACUACUGCAGCCGACCGC
This 29-nucleotide small RNA is filed under the name Bombyx mori (domestic silkworm). Its description in RNAcentral is "ovarian small RNA-1320". Lineage: Eukaryota; Metazoa; Arthropoda; Insecta; Lepidoptera; Bombycidae. The record is from RNAcentral.